GAUGAAGAACGCAGCGAAAUGCGAUAAGUAGUGUGAAUUGCAGAAUUCGGUGAAUCAUCGAAUCUUUGAACGCACAUUGCGCCCCUUGGUAUUCCAUGGGGCAUGCCUGUUCGAGCGUCAUUUGUACCCUCAAGCUUUGCUUGGUGUUGGGCGUCUUGUCGUAUUACGACUCGCCUUAAAUACAUUGGCAGCCGGCACUUUGGCCUAGGAGCGCAGCACAUUUUGCGAUCGUAGCCCGUUGUACUGGCGUCCAUCAAGAACAUUUACCACGUUUGACCUCGGAUCAGGUAGGGAUACCCGCUGAACUUAAGCAUAUCAAUAAGCGGAGGA
This 330-nucleotide unclassified non-coding RNA is filed under the name soil metagenome. Its description in RNAcentral is "partial contains 5.8S ribosomal RNA, internal transcribed spacer 2, and large subunit ribosomal RNA". The stretch from base 1 to 120 matches the Rfam family "5.8S ribosomal RNA", at positions 35 to 154 of the family's 154-position model. The record is from RNAcentral.